This 3682-nucleotide long non-coding RNA is filed under the name Gallus gallus (chicken). Lineage: Eukaryota; Metazoa; Chordata; Aves; Galliformes; Phasianidae. The record is from RNAcentral.
AACUGCAUUAUGCUGUAUUAUGAGCCGGUAUUUACCAUCUGGCCCAAUCACAGUAACAAGCUGAGCACUUCUGAAUAAAAGACAUUUUUCCUCAAAAUUUAUACUGCCUCCAGUGCCAGUAUUCUCUAUGGACCCUGAGCACAUAAUUAUUUCAUGGGGUAUCCUGCACAUAGAUCCAAGCAGAUGCCGGGACAUCCUGCAGAAGUACCCACUGAGGGUUUAGGCUUUCCAAGGCACACAGGUCGUGCUUGACAUCUGGUUGCUGCAAAGACUAACACAAAAAUGUAUGAGAAAUUUAAUCGUGUUCCAAGAGCUGCAUCCCCGUUGAGCUGUGAACCCAGGCUUCCUUUGGCCUUUUUUGUGUGACAGUAUCUGUCGAACAACUUCUUCAAGAUGUCUCCUGGCAGCUUCUACCGGAUGCAUGCCAUUAUCUACUGUGCUGUCUCCUUGGGAAGGACCUCCACAUCCAACAGGUCAUGCAUUCUGUCAGCCAUAUCAGCUUGCCUAAGAAAGAUCCUGCCACUCCAUGUGAACUUGCUCUCCUGAAUGCUGUAAACCACCAGCACUCACAAAGGCACAAAUGUCAUGCACCUUUCUGAGAUGUUCCUGUCCAGCUCCAGGUUUCCCUCUCUCUUUCAGUCUUCAUGCUUCCUUCACACAACAAGGUUUUCACUUUCUUUCUGUUUCCCUUUAGUGCCACUCUUUUAGCCAAGUUAUUCUUCACCCUCCCAUCUUCUCCUAACUGACACAUCUGUUCACAUGCUCAAACUAUCACUUCUUUGAGGAAAUGCCAGUUCUCCCUCACUUCUUUUCUUUCUUCUCUACCAUGGAAUCUGUCAAGAGUAGUUUUCUCCAUUCAUUUAUCCUCAGAUACGCAGUCCUUGAUGAGAAGCUCGGCGUAGGUCCCAGGGGCAUACUUUGUUAUUAUUAUUUUCAUAAAGAACAACAACAACAACAAAAAUAUCCAGACACAAGUUAAAAAUUGUAAAUCUUUCGCUUGUCUUUAUCGGAGAUUCCAUAUAGACUGGGGAAAUCUUCAGCCUGAGCCUUGGAGAUGAACAAAUAAAAAAAUCAAAUACAAAUUCAAUAAAUAAUAUAAUGAGCUCUUCAAACCUUCUGGAAAAGUUUAAUAAAUCCGAGAUACUUAGACACAUGUUUACCAUAUAACUAUUUGUAGGAACAUGGUACGUAUCAAAAAGUAAAAUGUACUUGCAUUCCUGUAGAGACAUAUUCUAAGGUGUGAGAAGAUUGUCCCAGUCAACAAAUGUCCUUCGCUUUCAAAGGCUGAACUAUUUUCUCAUAUAAAUAAAAGGACAAGCCAAUAAGUGAUGGUUAUUUCAGUGGAGAAAAGUAACAGCUAAUCCUGGAGUUGAUUUUUCAUCUCAGACUGCAUUUGACAGCUUUGAAUUCAUCCUAAUUGUGAAAAAACACAAGAUGGUUAAAACAUCCUGUGUAAACAAGAAUGAAGACAUUGAUUGAAAUAAGCUUUUGGAAAGAGGCUGUUGUUUGUAACACAAAGAAAUAGAAGAUUAUAUCCCAAAAGAAAAGUGUUCAAUGUUAUUAAAAUUAUAUUUCCAAUUUCUUUCCUUCCGUUGAUUUUUUUUUUAAUUGGAGGGCCAAAAUAUCCUCAGGACAGCGAGCUGCAGUCAGCAUUUUGCAAGAAGAAUCUUUCCAUUGGAAGACUUCCAACCAGGUCUCCAUUUCAGUUCUGCAGAACAUAUAAUUGAUUUUUCCAUAUAGUUAUAGUCUAUUAGAUGCAUUUAAAUCUUUACAUUGCUGCCUGUUUGAUGUGGGCGACGUAUUUUAUCCACUGUAAAUGGUAAUUUCUUCUUUCCAGUUUUCUAGGUGGAAUUCUGCAGUUACUAUUCACAAGCUAAGGUCCAGACUUUGGUGUUGGAAUUCUUGCUCUUUCACUGUGGCAUAACCUACCUAUGCUUGCAGCCACACAACUGUUGGGGUGACAGCAUGCACACAAACAGCUAUUCUGUAUGAGAACACCAGGCAUAGCAACACUCUUGCUCAUCUAUACGAACAAGUGAACUGACACCACAUUCAGUUUUUCACUAAAGCAAUUGUAUCUAGAAAUUAUGUGUCUGCUCUACUGUGAACCUCCCUUCAUACACACAAUGAAAAAUCCCAAAUCUUUCUGAGGUUCUAAAAAGGAUUAAAAAAAAACCCUCUUUCUUCCAGUUCAUUGUUGGAUAUGUUAACCAGGAUCAGAGAUGUUCCCAUGAAGUUAAAAACGGGAACUGAAGACUGAAGAGCUACAGCUGUUUCAAGUUGUUGAAUUCAAGUGUGGACAAUCUUUCCAAGUAGCCUGAGGUUUUUCAGGAAUUAUCAGUGCCAGCUGCACAACUCUUUGCAACGAAAGUCACACUACACAUCUGCCUGGACCAGCUCCACGCUUGAUGUGGGUGGCUGAGUGAUCUUCCCUCCAGCAUCUUCAAUACAUGUGCUUAUCCUGCUUCUGACAGAGUCUCUGGAAUAUUGGGAUAUUCCAUGGAGUAUUUGGAUUCCAAUGGAACAUUUGGAAUAUUCCAGCGAGUGGAAUAUUCCCUUGGUGUGUGAAUUCACAGGGUGUGAAUAUUCCCUUGGAUAAUAGUUUGGUGCCAGUUAGAGUGAAUGUUCUCCUAUUUUUUCUGAAUCAUAAGUACAUUCAUGAAGGAAAUCUUAAAAAAAAAAAAAAAAAAAAUCCUUUACUUGUUUGUUUACACAGCAGCUGUAGGCAAAAGGGCUCCCAGCACACCCACUGCAAAUUGUCUGCAUGACAGUUAACCAAGUGUGUGGUUAUCUGAACAAGCCUCUUUUAUGACCAGAUAAAUGCUGUUAAACCUGAAUUUUGCAACUGUCAUCUGCUCAUUCAUCGACUGUGUCAUUCCUAUUCUCAUGUCAUUCAGUUACAACAAUGAAUGAAAAGCAAAUUAUUUCAUCACUGCCAGAAAAAAGUGAUGAUAGUAGCACACUUAAAAUCUGCUGACUGUUAGCAUGCAAAUACAAACUGGCUUUUGCAUGAAACAGAGAAGUAUGAAAGAAGAAGACUUUCCCUGCACACACAACUUGCAGGAGAAUUCCCAGACACCCAACUCAGUGACACUAGCCGAAGUCAGGAGUGGCAGGGAAUUGCUCUUGCACAACCUUGCUCUGGCAAACUCAUUUUUAAGACAGUGUUAAUAGUAGGAAUUAUGGAAAUAAACCAAAAGACUUAGAGCACGUACAGGCUGGCAAAAUAAAUUAAUGUUAUUUUAUGAUAUCUGGGGUAAAGCUUUGAAUAGCUAACUAGAUAUUAAGAAGGCUAGUACUUCUUUUUAAAGAAAUUGGGGUCUGAACAUGAUAGGAUGUUGAAAACUGAGGAAAGCAGAGCCUAUAAAAAAAAAAUCCCUGCCUUACUGUAAAACACCUCUAUUUCAAGAGGAAACUCCUCUCCCCACUUAAAAGAUAGACAAGAAAGAACUCCAUGUGUUUAAACAGGAGGAAAACUGUAAUGUGGAUGCACUGUACUGAGGGCCAUGUUGACCCACAGAGUGUUUGAGUUCUUGCUUUGUACUAUCUGGAUGUGGUCCCAUGGGAAAAAUGCCCCUGCUCUGAUAGGUACAUGACUGGAGUAUAUCCAUGUUCUGCUGGAAAGAACCCAGUCCACAACCUCUAAAGCUCCUCUGUGAUCCCAGUCAAAGCAUUGCAUGCG